AAGGAGAAGUCGUAACAAGGUUUCCGCCCGCGAACGUGUUAACUAAACACCGAGGGGGAGCGAGGACGGCGGGUGAGACGCGCGGUCGCGUCGCCCGUGGCCAAACAACGAACCCCCGGCGUGAAUUGCGCCAAGGAACCAUAUAACGAAGAAGAGCACGUCGGCAGUUGCCGCCCCGUUCGCGGUGUGCGCGCGGACCGCCUCGUGACUCCUUUCUUGCGAAAAUUUAAAACGACUCUCGGCAACGGAUAUCUCGGCUCUCGCAUCGAUGAAGAACGUAGCGAAAUGCGAUACUUGGUGUGAAUUGCAGAAUCCCGUGAACCAUCGAGUCUUUGAACGCAAGUUGCGCCCCAAGCCAUUAGGCCGAGGGCGCGCCUGCCUGGGUGUCACGCAUCGUCGCCCCCUCCACCCCUUAGCCCAACAAAAGGCUAAGGGCGUUGCUGGGACGGAAAAUGGCCUCCCGUAGGCUCCCAGCUUGCGGUUGGCCCAAACGCGAGUCCUCGGCAACGAAUGGCGCCGUGACGAUCGGUGGUAAUGCUCCUAGCGUGCCUUGUCUCCAGUCGCGCGCGCCCGUUGUCCGUGCGGACCCCCUCGGACCCUUUUGUGCAUCGCUCGAACGAUGCUCGCAUCGCGACCCCAGGUCAGGCGGGAUUACCCGCUGAG
RNAcentral lists this ribosomal RNA (663 nucleotides) under embryophyte environmental sample. Its description in RNAcentral is "eukaryotic LSU rRNA". The stretch from base 234 to 389 matches the Rfam family "5.8S ribosomal RNA". Lineage: Eukaryota; Viridiplantae; Streptophyta. The record is from RNAcentral.